RNAcentral lists this transfer RNA (66 nucleotides) under Cynogale bennetti (Otter civet). RNAcentral describes it as "tRNA-Cys". Lineage: Eukaryota; Metazoa; Chordata; Mammalia; Carnivora; Viverridae. The record is from RNAcentral.
GUCCUGUGGUGAAGUGUCAUGUUGAAUUGCAAAUUCGAAGAAGCAGCUUCAACGCUGCCGGGGCUU